Molecule: long non-coding RNA, 165 nt
Filed under: Microcebus murinus (gray mouse lemur)
Lineage: Eukaryota; Metazoa; Chordata; Mammalia; Primates; Cheirogaleidae
Description: TTC28 antisense RNA 1 conserved region 2 (ENSMICG00000029199.2)
Rfam family: TTC28 antisense RNA 1 conserved region 2
Source: RNAcentral
AAAAGGGCAGAAUGGAAGAAUUGUGGGAGGAACUGGAAAGUAAGAAAGCCGUGUACCAGCACUCAGCACUCAAAAUGAGAAAGGAGGACAUAUAAGGAAAAGGACUAACACUUAUAAAAAAAAAAAGGCUAAUGGAUUAACAUCUCCAUUGUGUGACUUUUUCUU